ACGUGUCCUUCCCACCGUCACGAGGGUGAGCGACGGAGGGAACAUGCCUAACCUCUCGGUUAGCUCCCCACUUCCACGGGAAGAGCCCUCAGAAGCCGCUCAGUCCGCUGGGGAGGAAAGAAACAAGUCUGGCUCCUAAUCAGUGGCUCUUCCAAUCUUUUUUUUUUUUUUUUAAUAUUUUAUUUGUUUAUUAGACAGAGAUCUCAAGUAGGCAGAGAGAGAGGAGGAAGCAGGCUCCCUGCCAAGCAGAGAGCCUGAUGCGGGGCUCAAUCCGAGGACCCUGAGAUCAUGACCUGAGCUGAAGGCAGAGGCUUAACCCACUGAGCCACCCAGGCGGCCCCCCAAUCUUUUCAUCAAAGCCCCGACCUGUCAUUUUCUAUUGUCUGGAGUUAAGGAGUCAGCUUGAAGUGGGCCUUCUCUGGGUUCCCCUGGAUGGAGAGAAUUUGCUUCACUCUGGGGACUGCUCUGUCCUUGAUGACGUCAUUCUGUAUGUUUCUCAGCGCGCUCGCGAUGAUGACCAUCGUCACUUCGUAACUUCUGUACCAGGACACACAUCGUCGAGGACCCUGCUCGUGUUAGCUCCUCUGAUCUUCAGGAUUUUAUUUGUUUAUUCGAGAGAGAGAAAGAAACCGUAUGAGCCAGGCCAGAGGGAGAGAGGAAGCAGGCUCCCUGCCAAGCAAGGAGCCUGACGUCGGACUUGAUCCCAGGACCCGGAGAUCAUGGCCUGAGCCAAAGGCAGACGCUUAACCCACUCAGCCACCCAGGCAUCCCUCGGGUGUUGUAGCUCAGAGCGGUCAAGUCAUUCUCCCAGGGUCACACAGGCAAGAAGAAGGAGAAGCCGAGCUGAGAUGUGAAUCGAGGUGAGGUCCGGCGUCUGUGGUCCGUAACAACGGAUGGGGCGUACUGAGCAUUUACGAUGGGCUGGACACUGCUGGGAGCACAGCUUGCCUUGGAUUCCUUUGAUCCUAACCCAGGAAGGGUGCCCCCCAUUGGGCAGAUGCAGAGACUGAGUCACCCAGCGACAAGGAGUGGGACUGGACUUUGUACCUGAAGAGCCUGGCCCCCAAACCUCUUUCUCUCAAGAGGCAUCAGGAAGCCAAUAUCUCAGGACAGACCCUAAGCCUGCGACGCUGCCCCAUCUCAGAGUAAGGACUGGCUAUGUGGCCAAAAGGGCUCCAGGGCCCCAGGGCCAGGUUAAUAGCAGGAGCUGCUGUUCUCUUGAAGGAAAGCAGCUCUACCACCGGAGCUUGUGUUGGAAGAGGCCGACCUUGCUGCACAAGGACAUCCGAGCCAGGGCCGGAGCUGCUUCUCAAAGGAGUGUUGCUCUGAGAAGCCCCUUCUGGAAACGCUUGUCCUGCAUGCCCCGUUCUCACGAGGGGCCAUCAGGCCUUGAAGAGCUGAAUCAGAAACUUCACUUAACACUGCAGAAAGCAGAGCCAUGUGGGUCUGUCCGGGUUCAACUUCCACUGCAUUUGUGCUCUGGCCGCAAAAUCCCAAGGCAGAAACCACUGGCCUCUCCGUGCAGGAAGAGGAAGUACAAGGGCUGGGAAGUCAGCAGAGCUUGGACCGCAGCAGAGGUAAAUGGUGGUGACCAAGACCAUGUGGCCUGCGAGACCUAAAGUAUGUAAUGUGUGGCCCGUUGCAGAAAAAGGUUGCUGAUCCUUGCACUAGACCAUGGGCUCUCUAAGGGCAAACUCUGCUUCUUGUCCAGUGACGUAUAGCCGUCAGCAUCCAGUGCCAAGCCUGGAAAACAGAAGAGACUUAAUGAACAUUGACAAGUGGGCGGACAGUGUCCAUCUCCUCUGCGAGAACAUCCGUGCCAAGAGAGGAAGAACUUUGUGCUGUUCAUCCUUCCCGCACCGCACGUAGAACCAUGGCCAGCACCUUAGGAUCUGGAGGAUUUGGGCAAACGGUGACCUGAUGCGGUCCUUCGAUUUCAAAGAUGAAGAAAGCGUGCAGGGAGGCGAUUGCAGGGAUGCGGUUUGAGGGCGACAGCGAGCCUAGGAAUGUUUUAAGCAGAAGAGGCCUCUAGACAUAUCGUCAUUUCCGGAUCCAUACUAUCCAGGCCAAAUAAAGAAUGAGCUGAAUGGGCGUGGCCAGAGGCAGACCAGCAGGAGCGGGAAAACAAGCACGUACGGCCAGAGCAAAGCACUGGAACGAGAAGCCUAGAGACAGCCUCUCUGUGCCCCACGCCCUGGGAGAUACGGACGGAAAUGUCAAGCUUUCUUGUCUGUACUAGACUCAGAUGCAUGUACUGGGGCUAGACCUGCCCCAGGAGGAAAGGAGGUGCACAUGACCAAUGGAGGUCAGGAAGGAUUCCCAGUUAUCGUCCAGCCAGCUGAUAAAACAUGUUACAUCUGAUCUCAACAGGUCUUGGCAAGCGUGGGAGGGUGGAGAGAGGACUUCCCUCCAACAUGGCAGAAUGGAGCACUGUCCAUCUGGAUGCAGUUAUCUUCCUGACCUCAGUUCCUAUGGCUUUCCCACUUGUUCACUCAGCCCUAAAAUCUCCUCAUAAUCACCAGGAAUGUCCCUGCCUCAGGGCCUUUGCACUCGCUAGUGCCUCUGCCUGGAAUGCUCUUUUCCUAGUUCCCCGCGUGACUCAUUCCCUUUAAGUGUUUAGUCCCAGGUCACAUAUAUCCUGAGCCAUAUUUUCAUACACACACACAUAUAUACACACACACAAACAUACACACACACACACUUUCCUCCUCUGUCUGCUCUCUUCUCUGCCCUUCUUCCAUAGCAUCCACAGACCACCAGAAACACAUGCGUUUUAC
Long non-coding RNA from Mustela lutreola (European mink), 2777 nucleotides. RefSeq lists it as uncharacterized. The transcript is spliced from 7 exons. Lineage: Eukaryota; Metazoa; Chordata; Mammalia; Carnivora; Mustelidae. The record is from RefSeq and is a predicted model, not a curated record.